Molecule: long non-coding RNA, 840 nt
Organism: Tupaia belangeri chinensis (Chinese tree shrew)
Lineage: Eukaryota; Metazoa; Chordata; Mammalia; Scandentia; Tupaiidae
Exons: 5
Source: RefSeq, a predicted model, not a curated record
GACUGCUAGCCCUGCAGCUAACGGUGUGGAUCGUCCUGCUCAUGGGUGGCAAAGAGGGUAUCUACACUCUUCUGGAAGCCCCUCUGUGGCAUCACUCUUGGGAGUGGGAAAGGAAGUGGUCAAAGUGAGGACACAUACCCUACAGAAAAGAAAAAGAAAAAAAAAAAAAAGCUAAAAAUGAAGUGAAAUAAAAUAAUAGUAAAAAACAAAAAAAUGAUGAAAUCGUGCCUUCGAGGAGCUUUGGAGAAAGGCCCACCAGGGUCUCCUGACUAGGAUGGAAAGGAGAGGAGGCUAAGGAAGUCUUGGGGAGUGGCUAAACCCCAAAAGGUUUCUCCUCCUGGGAUUGGGUACAUAUGCACAUGCAGCUGGCAUGUUUUCUCAAACCACCAAUCUGGGGACUUGAGCCACGCAGUCGGCCGUGUGGGAUCCAACUGCCUCAACCACCAUCCCACCAGUUAACCCCAGAACCAAAUCUCUAAGAAAUGGACAUGGCAUCGAUUCCACCUCAGGAUCAGGAGUAUGCCAGGGUGGUGCAGAAAUGAACAAGACCUACGUUCUACUUUUGCUACGAAUCAGAAUGGGAAGGGCAGCAAUCUUACUGAAGAUCAAUAGCCUCUACUGAACCCUGAGUGGAAAGAGACCGAGUGUGGUAUAAAUGACAUAUUUAGUCUUUUCUCAUCCACAAUACUCCAUUUGGGAUAUAAAGAAACAUUUAAAUAAAGUUUAAAAUAGAAGCCACACCACCAAAACUUGGAGUGGAGGUAUAAAUGCUGUAAGGACUAAGAUGUGGACAGGUAUUAUUGAAUAGAUGUUGUCUUUUAAAGAGAAAUAGGCAAAACA